Molecule: long non-coding RNA, 700 nt
Filed under: Homo sapiens (human)
Lineage: Eukaryota; Metazoa; Chordata; Mammalia; Primates; Hominidae
Description: HSALNT0358188
Source: RNAcentral
UGCGUGUUGUGAUGGCUCCCUCUGAUGGCAGUCGCUGGAUGCUUCAUCCACGUGUAGUGGUUUUCUUUCCUCUGCACACCUCUCAGUACAUACUCCAGCUGGGACAAUCUUUUCAGAUGAACACCCUGUUUUUAUCCCAGUCUGAUAAAUUUUUCUUGAAAAGAGGUCAAACAGGAAAGCAAACCUUCCUCUGCCUGUCUCAGUGCAAUCAUGAAGAUCACGCAAGAUAGUCCCUGUUGGAGUGUGUGUGCUUCAGCAGUGCAGAGCAUUCAAAGGCCAUCAAGCUCCAGAUGAUCCUCAGUGAGGGAUACCGCUCUCUCAGUAUUCAAGAGUCACCCUUCCACAGAGAAGCCCUAGACUGCCCAUCAGUGGAAUAUGAGAGAGAUAAAGGAGGGAGCGUCACAUGGGAAAUAGUCAAGAACUGCCUCCAAUUUGCAGCUCAGGAUUUCCAAGAGUCCUCCUGGCACAAAGUAUGAAGAGCAGACUCAAAAUUAAAAAUGGUCUUGAUAAUUGGAUGAUGGACAGAAGCCAACAACCUGCACCAGAUGCAACUCCUAUAGAAGAGGGAAAUCCUGAACUGACUGAGCGAACUCUCAGAAUUGACCAUGAUUCACAUUUUUACCCUUGACGGAAAAAGGAUUCAAGGAACACAUUACAUUUCUGUUUUAGAAAAAUAAAGUUGUAUUUUUGCAUACCUGAA